This 486-nucleotide ribosomal RNA is filed under the name uncultured bacterium. Its description in RNAcentral is "bacterial SSU rRNA". It matches the Rfam family "Bacterial small subunit ribosomal RNA", at positions 899 to 1397 of the family's 1533-position model. The record is from RNAcentral.
ACUCAAAUGAAUAGACGGGACCCCGCACAAGCAGCGGAGCGUGUGGUUUAAUUCGAUGCUACACGAAGAACCUUACCUGGGAUGGACAUGGAGGUGGUAGGGAGCCGAAAGGCGACCGACUCUUCGGAGAGCCUUCACAGGUGCUGCAUGGCUGUCGUCAGCUCGUGCCGUGAGGUGUCGGGUUAAGUCCCGUAACGAGCGCAACCCCUGCCCUUAGUUACAAGUGUCUAAGGGGACUGCCGGCGACAAGCCGGAGGAAGGUGGGGAUGACGUCAAGUCAGCAUGGCCUUUAUAUCCAGGGCUACACACACGCUACAAUGGGCGGUACAACGGGCAGCGAAGCCGUGAGGCGGAGCGAAUCCUGAAAAGCCGUUCCCAGUUCGGAUUGCAGGCUGCAACCCGCCUGCAUGAAGUUGGAGUUGCUAGUAACCGCGCGUCAGCCAUAGUGCGGUGAAUACGUUCCCGGGGUUUGCACACACCGCCCGU